GAGUCCCUAAAAAAAAUGUAGGGAUGUUAGUUCCAAUUUAGUUAAAAGAAAAAUACAAAAAACAAACAUAAUAAUAACAACAAUAAUCAACGAAAAAGGGAUUGAAAUAAAAAGACAAUUCAAAAAAAAGGAACUAGAACAAGAAGAAAGAAAUAAAAAAUAAAAAGUUACGUAAAAGAAAAAAAGAAAAGAAGAAGAAACAACAAAAAAAACAAAAAAAAAAAAAAAAAAAAAAAAAAAAAAAAAAAAUAAAAAAAAAAAAAAAAAAAAAAUAAUAAUAAUAAUAAUAAUAAUAAUAAUAAUAAUAAAUAAUUAAGGGCUUCUGUCGUUUUCGGCAAAAACUAACAAAUUGGAAUUGGAAUUGGAACUUGGAAUUGGUUUCAAUUCAAGAAUCCAAAGUAUUAAAUAUAAAAAAAAAAAUUCUUUGGUUUUCCUCCGCCAUGCCAAAACCAGGAAAUAUAUU
This 463-nucleotide long non-coding RNA is filed under the name Olea europaea subsp. europaea. Lineage: Eukaryota; Viridiplantae; Streptophyta; Magnoliopsida; Lamiales; Oleaceae. The record is from RNAcentral.